Molecule: RNA transcript, 3535 nt
Organism: Linepithema humile (Argentine ant)
Lineage: Eukaryota; Metazoa; Arthropoda; Insecta; Hymenoptera; Formicidae
Gene: CalpC
Gene name: calpain-C
Source: RefSeq, a predicted model, not a curated record
CUCACGAUGAGGAAGGAGACAGCAACGCGGUCGGUCAUAAGCAGGAGAGGGAGAAGAAAAGAGAGAGGAUCGUCGACGGUAGCUCGGUGGAGAAGGAGGAGGAAGGUCAGCCAGGAUGGUGGUGAUCGGCUUCGGAUCCACGAGUGGCAGUCCAUGGCGCGGGCAGCCGGCGCACAGUCAGUCACCAAUUCUACCAGUCGGUUGUAGCCAGUUGGUACCAGAAGAGCAGCUCCGUACGCGGGGCCGCGUAGUGCGCCUCUCGCGCUUCGGUUCGUUUAGAAACAGAUUUGAUUCGUUUUCACCCGCCCGUUGGAAAUCCCGAUAGCAGCACUCUGGCUUUCGUUCCGCGACGAAAUACACGAGAUCGUACACAUUCGACUCGAGGGAUCCUCGGAGUGGCUGGUAGCGCGCGAACUUAACGAUAAGUGCGCGGAGUGCCUCAGUAUCGAGUGCCUGAAUGAAGACACUUAUCUGGUAUAUAAGUGAUAAAGUGUCGGCUACGCGUGGGUUCGAAGAGGUGCUCGAGCGUCCUCCUUGGAUGUGAAGCGAUAUUUCAGAGGAAGUUGCAGAAACCUGACUACGGAUGGUUAACGACGUAAUGAGCGAGUACGAACGGAUCAAGCGUUCGUGCUUGAAACGAGGUGAGCUCUGGGAGGAUCCAGAAUUUCCAGCGACACAAGCGUCAGUCUUUUAUCACCAGACACCGCCGUUCCAGUUUCAAUGGAAAAGGCCGAAGGAAUUAUGCAAUCGUCCGAUUUUCGUCAGCGAUGCGCCGGCUCAAUUCGACGUAAUUCCAGGGAAAAUGGGUGACAAGUGGCUGGUAUCAUGCCUGGGCGUGCUGCAUCUUAGCAAAGGUCUAUUCUACAGGGUGGUACCAGCAGAUCAGGGUUUCGGAAGCAGUGGAGAACCCUCGGGCUCGCCAACUGCUGAAUACGCUGGAGUGUUCAGGUUUCGACUGUGGUGGUGUGGCGCAUGGGUAGAAGUUCUCGUCGACGACAGAUUACCAGCAGUUCACGGAAGAUUGGCCUUCGUCCAGAGUCGCCAUAGUGAUCAAUUCUGGCCGGCGCUGCUGGAGAAAGCGUACGCCAAACUGCACGGUUCUUACGAGGCACUAAAGUACGGUACAUUAUUGGAUGGCUUGUCUGAUCUCACGGGUGGCAUAACCGAAAGUAUCGCGAUUCGCCAGGACCCCACAGCCUGCGGACGAGCGCUAUCUAAACUUUUAGAUAUGACGUCUCUUAUUACUUGUACAGUAAAUAAUAAUACACAGCAACAGAUACGUGCCAGCACAGAAAAACUCGCCAAUGGCGUACAAAUGGGAAUCAAUUACAGAUUGUAUGCGAUUGAGAGGGUAGAAACUUUUGGAGGGGAAGCAGUGCAAUUAGUAAAAUUAAGAAAUCCUCUUGGGCCCGGGGGAGAAUAUGUGGGUGCUUGGGCGAGAGGCGGCCUUGAAUGGGACGAAGUUCCCGUAAUGGAAAGGGAUCGGUUAGCUGUAAGAAAUAUGGCUGAAGGAGAAUUUUGGAUAUCAUACUCUGAUUUCGUUAAAACGUUCACUCACCUGGAAGUUGUGCAUCUGGAUGCUGAAACUUCGAGAGAUGAACCGUCGUUGCACAGUAAGCAUACUUGGCAAAUGAAAUUGUAUCAAGGAAGCUGGAGAAGAGGUGUCACUGCAGGAGGAUGUCGAAAUAAUCAAGAAACUUUCCACAUAAAUCCACAGCUGCAUCUUAUUUUGAGCGAGAUGGAAGAAGUAAUCGUUUCGUUAAACCAGCAUUCUAUAAUGGAACCGAAAGUGAUUGGUUUCACGGCGUACACACUACCGAAGAACAGCACUGAAUCGAUAAACAAGCAAUUUUUUAAAAAGAACAAGUCUUUAGUUAAUUCCCAAUAUACAAAUAGUCGGCAGGUGAGCCACAGGUGCCAGCUCGAGCAGGGUGGUUACCUGCUGGUACCUACGACCUUCGAGCCGACUCAAGAAACAAGUUUCACGUUACGAGUCUACAGCAGUAAGCCUCUAAAACUCAAAUUGUUAGACACUCCGCCAUCGUUAAUGAAAUCAGCAAUUGUCAAGGCACCUCCUCUUGAAGGAAAAGGUUUCUCUCAGUAUGAAGCUGUGUUUCUACAGCUCGCCGACGAGCAUAGAACCGUAAAUGCCUUCGAGUUGCAGGAGCUUUUAGAAGCCUGUUUACCGAAUGAUUAUAUUAAAAGUUGUGCCUGCAUGGAAGUCUGCCGACAAGUAGUACUUACUAUGGAUAGCUCCGGAAGUGGCCGGCUAAAGUUCAACGACUUUAAAGAUCUUAUGUGCAGUUUAAAGUACUGGCAAGCUGCUUUUAAGAACCAUACGAAAGAAAAGACAGGUAUACUCAAAGCGGAGAGAUUGCGCGAUGCUCUACUGGAAGUUGGUUUUCAAUUAAAUACGGACGUAUUAUCCAUUUUGAUUCUUCGAUAUAUGAGGAAAGAUGGAACUCUUAGAUUCGGUGAUUUUGUUUCAGCGAUAUUACAUUUAAGCGACGCAUUUGGAAUAUUCGAAAGUAAGGAUCCUUUGCAAAAUGGAACGAUAAAAUUAAGUUUAUCAGAGUGGCUGAGAUCGUCUUUGAUGUGUUAAAGUGUCAGUCCGCCUGAAAUGUGUACCUUGAAUCAUCUGUAAAUAACAUUGUUUUUCAUUUCGACAUUAAAUAUAUUGAUGCACCGAGUUAUUCAGAAAUAUACAGAAAGAUUAUUGUGUUUUUAAAAGUGUUUCACAGAAUUCGUUCGAGAGAUACAACGGAACUUUUGAUAUCCUAGAAUUUAUCACCUACUCCCAACGGCGGAGUAAGGUAUAAUCCGCGCAAAUUGAUUCAUUCCUUGUCCGAGUCAUCGACUCGACACUCACAUGUUCUGAGAUCUGAGGUUUCAUUUUGCGCGAAUUAUAUAAUAAGUGCACACGAGACACAGAUAGGUGAACGGCGAUAUGUGAAAAUUGCCAAGAACAAGUUGACAUAAUAGAGGCUUUGUCUAUAGCUUGCCAGUCGUUCUGGGCAAUUUUAAAUAUUCCGUCGAAGACUUUAGAUGAUGCUUUGAUCAAGGAGACUACCGACUGCACUUUAGCGCAGUCCGGUAUAAUACGUCGAAAAACACGUACGUCCGUAUCAAUUAUGUCCUUAUCGACACCUGUUACUGCGAGCAACAUAUUCGGAUUGUACGUGACUCUCGAUUUGAUAAUCUGGUGAACGUAACUCCGAGCAAUAUUGUGCAAGCAAAAUCUGUGCAAAACUAGAAUGACUUUUGCUGUACAAAAUACGAGUAAUCUUAAUAUCCCGCGGCUUUGAUAUGUGCAAGUUUGAGAUUAAGACUAGAAACUCCGGAGAUAGAUCAUUCGUUCACCGGCGAUUUCAAUAAGAAUCAUUGCAAUUUGGCACACCUUCAUCAUUUUCAGGUAUUAAAAAGAUAAUGCUAGUAUGUCGCCCUUAUAAUAUAUUACACAUUUAUUAAUUAUAUAUUAAUGUGCAUACACAAUAAGUUUCAGUCUUGAAAUAAUAAAAUAACUGCAAGAAGGAGC